RNAcentral lists this long non-coding RNA (2721 nucleotides) under Musa acuminata (dwarf banana). RNAcentral's name for it is "long non-coding RNA (MACU_LNC001655)". The record is from RNAcentral. Lineage: Eukaryota; Viridiplantae; Streptophyta; Magnoliopsida; Zingiberales; Musaceae.
CUAAACCUCGGCAUUACUAUUACCAUCGUCGUCGUUACCUUUCAUAUCCUUCACGUUGUUGAGAGGCGAAAUCCGCCCUACGAGACCCCAGCAGACCUUUAUCCUCUUCCUCUUAUACAUCCGGCCGGCCGGCCACGGCGAGAACGUCGCUUCCCAAGUUCUCGGCCGUGCAGACCGUUGUCGUCAGCUACCUUGGUCGGUCUCCACCUCUUUUUCAGGUACUGCUGGCUGCCUUUUUUUUAUUUUUAUUUGUUGUCGUUCUUUUUGUACGGUCGUGAAGGAUCGAGUAUAUUAUUUGGUCUUUCCAGGUUGAUAUGGUGUUGGCGAUCCAUGUUGCAGACCAACUGUUUGUUGAUUUUCCCAUUAUAAUUACUCUUGGUGUACUAGAUGUCUAGUUAGUUUGGUCGAUUCCACGCAUCGUUCGAUCGUCUGAUUUUGUCUUGGAUAGUCGAAGCUAAUAGGUUGGCCAAUCGGUCCUGCAUUUCGUGUGCUGUUUGUAUUUCAUGUUACCAUGAGGUCCAAUCGAAUCUUGCGUUCUGUAUGCUUCUGUGUUUCCUUGUUCCAAGAGCCUUUCAAGCAGACUUCCGAGCUAUCCUUCUUAAUAUCAUCGACUUCCAAUCUUGAUUAUUUUGCACUGCUGAUCCAAGGGUUAUACACACUUUUCUACCUUUUUCAUGGUAUAAUGGAGGAACAUUUAAGAUUGUAUGGGCAUGUUCAGGAGAUCUAUGGAGAGGUAAAAGAAGACUAAAUAAAAUUUUGUUGGAAACAGUGAAAUAAGAUCUGUUGUCCUUAGUUUAACUAGUGAUGUUUUCUUUGACAGAACUCGGUGGUGGGAAAGCUUUCAUGUAAGCCUACCCAGAUGGUUUGGAUCUGCCUCAUGGCUUGGUCUUGUCGUUGUCGAACUUGGAUAACCUCUUAUGCUUUUUAUUGAUUUUUAGAGAAAGGUAAUUUUUCACUUUUAUUGUGGUAUUCUUGGAGAUCAGGGUUAGUACAAUGAUAAGGUUGGUCCUUUGUAACCGGAGAGAUCAGGAUUUGAGUCACGAAAAUAAUCUCUUUAAACUAUUUAAAUGUAAUGCUGCGUACAUUAACCCUCCUUAAACCCUGCAUUAGUGGGAGUGUUUGUCAUUUUUAUUAUGAUAUUUUUGAAAGCCUUUCUAUCAAGUUACCUAGUGUGGAAACUUUAAUCUUCUCAAUGGGCAUGUGAAUUCUCUUGAAUUAUGAAGGUUUAUCUUUCCUUGGAAAUUUCGUUUUUAGGUUUAUUAAUUAAGGAUUCGACUGUAUCCUUCAUUUAUUCUGAUGUAAUAACAUUGAUGCUAAAGUGUCUUUAGACCAGAUCGAUCCAUGGUUCAAUAUCUCUUUAAUCAUUUUGAUGCUAUUGUUUGUUGUCUUGGUACACAGCUCCUUUGAGGCCAUUCGAUUGAAUAUUAUGACCAUGUUCUCUAUGAGAUGGUAGCAAGCAGGGAGGGUCUAGAGAAUGGAAUAAACUCAAGGCUUCAUGAUCUAAAGGCUUUAAUGUCAUUUGGAUUCACUCAUAGGAAGAUGCCUAAAGUACUCAUUUUGAUUGCCUUGAUUAUCAAAGUGAAAAGUGGUACUUCACAUUUUGUUCCUUUCUUAUUUUUUCUUUAUCUCUGCUCACAACUUGAAAUAGUAAGUAGAAACUAAUUGACUCCUAUUCAUGGUGGUUCAUGGAACCUUUGAUCUUGUUACAUGUGUACACAUACCAGUUGUCAUAACCAGUGUUUCCUUUCUCACUGAUUUCAGUGUCAUCUGGGUUGUUUUAGUGUAUGGAAUGAUGGUUGUCCAACUGCAUCUUGUCUCAAUUCCAAUAUUUACUUUCUUAUAUCAUGAUAGUAUAUAUGAUAAGGUCUGCUUUACGUUUCUUUUUUCUUCCGUCGGAAUGCUUAGUGUGCUUCAUAGUUUAACAGUCUACAUAUAUUCCUUGUCAGAUUUCAAUGAAUCUAAUUUUCACAAAGUGCGACAAACGUAAGAAGACGACGAUGUGUGGUGGGUGGUAGAAGAUGAGGAUGAUGAUGAUGAUGAAUGGUGGCAGAAGACACGAAGAAAAUGUUGAGAAAAUUUUCUUAUCUGCUCAUGCUGCGCUGAGGUAAUCACUGCCCCCUCAUGUCUCUCUGUUCGAAGCAGAUGACUGCCGAUGGAGCUAAAACUAGUACAAAGCAAGCAGCCAUUUUAACUCGACAAGCUAUAGAUCUACUUGCUUUACUUUCCGCCGGUGGCAAUGAAUUAUAUGCUUGGGCAUAGCUUCAAUUAGUCUUGACGUAUGACUUGAGGGAACUUUGCUGCUCAAGCUUCCUCAAAUAAAUAUUAUAAGUAAAUAGGGUACAUUAAUUUUGAUUAUAGAGGUGAGCUAAGCAAAUUUAUGAAUGGUAAACAAUAUCUUCUUAAGAUGCAGGUGCAACGUCUGUUUGGGGUAGUCUUUUGCUUACAAUGACUAGUAGAAUCCAUGGCCGAGUAGUGAGAAUGGAAAGUUGGCUUCCGCCGCCGCUGUCUCUGAACCCGUCAUGCUCAGUUCGAAUUCUGGGAGGAAGCUGAUUUCGCUUGCAGAAUUGGGACCGAUAAGCUCAGCAUCGUAGCUGUUGAUGGCGGAAACAUCGGUAAUGAGUGCAAAUGGUUUCACUUCCUCCAUUAUCAACUGAUCACUUCCAUGAUCUAAUGGCUCGAACAUUGUCUGUUGAAUCCCUGGAACCAGAAUGGAAGGCAGGA